AUGAUGUAUCUUGAUUACUGGGGCCAAGGGAGCAUGGUGACUGUGACUUCAGAGACACCAUCUCCCCCCACGCUUUAUGGCCUGGUCUCCUCCUGUGAGGGGCACAACACCGAUUCGACAAUCUUUGGUUGUUUGGUGAUGGACUAUUCCCCUGACGUCACCAAGGUAACCUGGAAGAAAGGUGGGGAGCUAAUCACGGAUGGAUUGAAGACUUACCCAUCAGUGAGAAACAAGAAGGGAACCUACACCCUGAGCAGCCAGUUAACCCUGCCCGGGUCAGCGGUAGAUUGCCCCAGCAAAAUCUACUGUGAGGUUGAACACAGCGGGUCACACUCACACAAGAGCAAAGAAAUGCCAUGUGGUAGAGGUCCUCUCCCACCAACUCUUCUCCUAACUGUGAGCUCCAGUGAAGAAAUCGCAAGCAGCAAGUUUGCAACCAUUGUCUGUUCAAUCAUCGAUUUCCAUCCGAAGUCAAUCUCCGUGAGUUGGUUGAAAAAUGGCCGACUCUUGGAUUCUGGCUUCUUCAUGUCUCCCGUGUGUGAGGCGAACGGGAACUUCUCGGUGACGAGUCGGCUGAUGGUCCCUUAUGGUGAAUGGUACAACAGCGCAGUCUAUACCUGCCAGGUCACUCAUGAAGACAACAUUCAAAGUAAAAACAUCACCGCACUCCAGGAAGAUACCGAGUGCCACCCUAACACCGUUAAAAUCCUCCCACCGCCAGUAGAACAAGUCUUACUGGAGGCGACAGUGACGUUAACCUGCGUUGUGUCCAAUCUUCCUUCUGGAGUCAACGUGACCUGGAAACAAGAAAAGAAGCCUCUGAAAUCAGAGAUUGCUGACCAGCCUGGACAGAAUCCCGACAGCGUGAUCAGCAAAUUAGACAUUUCUACUGAAGCCUGGCUGAGUGGCGUUACUUUUGAAUGUGUGGUGUACCAUCAGAAUCUACCGACUCCGCUGAGAGACUCCAUCCACAAGGAGAAAGUGAUUAAUCCGCUGGAGCCAUCAGUGUCGGUCCUCCUGCCACCAACAGAAGAAAUCUCCGCUCAGAGGUUUCUCUCCCUCACCUGUUUAGUGAGAGGUUUCUCCCCCCGAGAGAUCUUCGUCAAGUGGACAAACAAUGACAAGCAGGUGAAUCCCAGUAACUACAAGAACACCGAGGUGAUGGCGGAGAGUGACAACACUUCCUUCUUCAUCUACAGCCUGUUAUCCAUUACAGCGGAGGAGUGGGCCAGCGGUGCUUCUUACUCCUGUGUGGUGGGACAUGAAGCGAUUCCAUUGAAGAUCAUCAACAGAACAGUCGAUAAAUCCAGCGAUUCAAUAAAUCGCACUUGGAUUGAAGACUAUGAGGAUGAUAACAGCAACAUCUGGACAACUGCUUCCACGUUCAUCACCUUGUUCUUCCUGAGUAUUUUCUACAGCGCUGCUGUCACUCUGGUGAAGCGCCGCUCAACAACCGCUGCCACUGCCGGCUCUCGGCAAGGAACGUCAGGCGGGGGAAGGCAUUUACUGCGCAUGUUCCCUCCCAGGCCACCACCUACUGCGCAUGCUCUGGCCAAGAGCGGGAAGGUUAAACGGUUCAACGGAAAGUUCUGGAACGUGGAGGAGAGGAUCCCAAGGGGGCUCCCAGAUGCAAAAGUUAUUAGCAUUGUCAACAAAGGGAACGUGUCAAACUGUGGUAACUGCAAGGUCAAAUCCCUGAUGUCAACCAUUGGAAAACUCAUCGCCAAGGUCCUUUUCAAGUGGCUCCUCCCUGCGUUUGAGGAACUCCUCUCUGGAGUCUCAGUGUGGCUUUGGCCCCAGAAAGUUACAAUGGACAUGUUUUUCACUGCUGUCUUGGACCCUCAUGGAGCUUUGACACAAUUAAUUGAGAAGCAUUUGUGA
Molecule: non-coding RNA, 1881 nt
Organism: Hemiscyllium ocellatum (epaulette shark)
Lineage: Eukaryota; Metazoa; Chordata; Chondrichthyes; Orectolobiformes; Hemiscylliidae
Source: the annotation of a RefSeq genome assembly